Molecule: small nucleolar RNA, 132 nt
Organism: Rattus rattus (black rat)
Lineage: Eukaryota; Metazoa; Chordata; Mammalia; Rodentia; Muridae
Product: small nucleolar RNA SNORA17
Exons: 1
Source: RefSeq, a predicted model, not a curated record
ACUGCCCCUAGAGGCAUUACAUGUAUGGCUGCUGUGUCACAUGUGUGUCAGUAGGUGGCAGAGAGGCAAAAGGUUAUAUCUAAGCUUCAUGUUCUGACCUGUGAACAUCUGAAUGAGUAGUAGCCUAACAUU